Molecule: ribosomal RNA, 366 nt
Filed under: Austropurcellia vicina
Lineage: Eukaryota; Metazoa; Arthropoda; Arachnida; Opiliones; Pettalidae
Description: partial 12S ribosomal RNA
Source: RNAcentral
AACUAGGAUUAGAUACCCUAUUAUUUUAAGAAGAUGAAAAGAGGAAUAAGUUCGUUUGAAUUAAAAAAUUUGGCGGUUUUUUUACAAUUUAGAGGAGUGUGUUUUAUAAGGGAUAAUACACCAGAAAAUUUACUGUUUUUGAAGCUGUUAUACCGCUGUUUUUAAAUUAUUUUUGAUAAAAAUAUUUAUAAUUUUUUAUUUUUAAAGAGAACUUCAAGUACAGGUGAUGCAAUAAAAUAGAAUAAAUGCACUACAAUAAAAAUUUUUAGAACGGAUUAUUUUUUUUAAAAGUAUUAUGAAGGAGAAUUUAAAAGUAAAAUUUUAUAAUAAUUUGAAUUUUGAUCAAAAAAAUGUACAUAUCGCCCG